CAGCCGCCGCGGUAAUCCGAAGGGUGCAAGCGUUAAUCGGAAUUACUGGGCGUAAAGCGUGCGUAGGCGGUGAGUUAAGUCUGCUGUGAAAUCCCCGGGCUCAACCUGGGAAUGGCAAUGGAUACUGGCAAGCUAGAGUGUGUCAGAGGAUGGUGGAAUUCCCGGUGUAGCGGUGAAAUGCGUAGAGAUCGGGAGGAACAUCAGUGGCGAAGGCGGCCAUCUGGGACAACACUGACGCUGAGGCACGAAAGCGUGGGGAGCAAACAGGAUUAGAUACCCCCGUAGUCCCUGUCUCUUAUAC
Molecule: ribosomal RNA, 301 nt
Filed under: uncultured bacterium
Lineage: Bacteria
Description: partial 16S ribosomal RNA
Rfam family: Bacterial small subunit ribosomal RNA
Source: RNAcentral